RNAcentral lists this small RNA (5062 nucleotides) under Pan troglodytes (chimpanzee). RNAcentral's name for it is "transcribed unitary pseudogene". Lineage: Eukaryota; Metazoa; Chordata; Mammalia; Primates; Hominidae. The record is from RNAcentral.
AUGAGGCUCCCAAUCCUGUUCACUGCCCUGCUCUGGUUCCGGGGUUUUCUGGCAGAGGAGGAAGCAUGCCCCUCCCUGGAAGGGAGUCCAGGCAGGGAGAGUGCAGGCCCACCCCUGAACGUGAACAUCACCAGCCAGGGGAGACCUACUAGCCUCUUUCUGAGCUGGGCAGCCCCGGGGCCAGGCAGGUUCACCCACGCCCUCCGCCUCACACGUCUGAGCCCCCUCAGCUCUCCUGAAGGGCAGCAGCUCCAGGCCCACACCAAUGCAUCCAGCUUUAAGUUCCAAGAUCUGGUGUCAGGGGGUCGCUACCAGCUGGAAGUGACUGCCCUGCGACCCUGUGGGCAGAAUGUCACCAUCACCCUCACUGCUCGCACUCCCCGUCAACUGUCCAUGGACUGCAGCUCCACAUUCCGGGAGCCCAUCCAGCCUGGAGGCCUCAUGGGGUGAUGCCCCCGGGGAGCAGGAUGGCUACUGCCUUCUCCUCUACCACCUAGAAUCCCAGACAUUGGCACAUAAUAUCUCCAUGCCCCUGGGCACCCUGUCCUACAAUUUUGGCAACCUCUUGCCAGGUAUUGAGUAUAUUUUGGAAGUUAACACCUGGGCUGGCAACCUCCAAGCAACAACCAGCCUCCAUCAGUGGACAGCCCCUGUGUCUCCAGAUCACCUGGUACUGCAUACCCUGGGCACCAGUGCCUUGCAAGCCUCCUGGAAUGGCUCCAAGGGGGCUGCCUGGCUCCACUUGGUGCUCACAGACCUCCUAGGUGGCACCAAUCUGACUGCAGUAUUCAGACGGGGAGUCUCCCAUCACACCUCCCUUCACCUGUCUCAGGGCCCCCCUGUGAGCUGACGCUCAGUGCUGCUGCGAGGCCCCAUCGGGCAGUGGGGCCCAAUGCCACAGAGUGGACCUAUCCCUCUGCCCACCCUCGACCUGGUUUGACUCCCCUGCCCGCCAAGCUCUGGGCAAGCUGGAAGGUAGGGCCAGGUGUGCAGGAUGGCUUCCUGCUGAAGUUAAGUGGGCCAGUGGAGAAGAAUAUCACUCUAGGCCCUGAGGCCCACAAUGUCACAUUCCCAGGGCCCCUGCCCACUGGGCACUAUGCUCUGGAGCUGAAGGUCCUAGCGGGGCCAUAUGACGCCUGGGCCCAGGCCAGUGCCUGGCUGGACGAUUCCGCAGCCAAGUCCAGACAAGGCAGUGGUGCCAAGCGGCAGCUGGAUGGGCUCGAGGCCUCCAAGGAGCCCAGGAGACGGGCCCUGCUCUACACAGAGGGAAACCUGGGCCUCCUUGGAAACAUCUCUGUGCCACCUGGUGCCACCCACAUCACCUUCUAUGGGCCAGUGCCUGGGGCCCGCUACUGUGUGGACAUUGCCUCAUCUCUGGGAAUCAUCACUUAGAGCCUCAUGGGCCACAAAAGUCCCCUGGCACCACAGUCCCUGGAGGUUAUCAGCAGGGGUGGCCCCUCUGACCUGGCCAUUGUCUGGGCCCCAGCACCAGGACAGCGGGAAGGCUUACAGGGUCGCUUGGCACCAGGAGGGCAGCCAGAGGUCACCGGGCAGUCUUGUUGACUUGGGCCCCGACAAUUCCAGCCUGACCCUGAGGAGUCUGGUGCCUGGCUCCUCCUAUGCCAUGUCAGUGUGGGCCUGGGCAGAGAACCUUGGCUCUAGCAUCCAGAAGAUCCACCCCUGUACUUGUGAGUUCCUGGCUGCAGCCUGCUUAGCCUGGACUCUGCUGCCUGGGGUCAGUGGCAGGCCCUGCUUUCCAGUGGAAUCCUGGGCUCACAGGACGCCCUGAAAUGGUGUCUCUAGCUCCUGGGUGUUUCUUGAUAGGGCCAAGGAUGGAGGGAGAAAUUGGGGUUCUUUUGGAGAGGGGGGAGCCAGAGAUUUAGUGUAGAUCGUUUCUCCCUUUUCUCCACACCCUCCAUAUCUUGCUCUCCUCGCAGGCCCGCUUGCCCCUCCUCUGGUAAAUGUGACGAGUGAAGAUCCCACCCAGCUCUGGGCAUCCUGGGUCCAUGCCCCCAGGGGCCGAGACAGCUACCCGGUGACCCUGUACCGGGCAGGCACCAGCGCCGUCGGAGCCAAGGUGGCCAGCACAAGCUUUUCGAGUCUGACUCCAGGCACGAAGUACGAGGUGGAGGUUGUCACGCAGGCUGGGCCCCACCACAUUGCAGCAGCCAACACCUCUGGCUGGACCCGCCCUGCACACACCCAGUGAGUUGGUGUCCAUGCAUGCGAGCACCGCUGUGGUCAACCUGGCCUGGGCCAGCAGCCCCUUGGGGCAGGGGAUGUGCUACACCCAACUCUCAGAGGCGGGGCACCUCUCCUGGGAGCACCCUCUGGUGCCAGGCCAAGCCCACCUCAUCCUGAGGGGCCUCACACCUGGAUGCAACCUCUCCCUGUCAGUGCUGUGCCAGGCAGGGCCGCUGCAGGCGUCCACUCAGCGCGUGGUACUGCUUGUUGAGUCUGGCCCUGUGGAGGAUGUGCAGUGCCAGCCUGAGGCCACCUUCCUGGCCCUGAACUGGACAGGGCCCGCCAGGGAUGUGGGCACCUGUCUGGUGGUGGCAGAGCAGCUGGUGGCAGGAGGGAAUGCUCACCUUGUGUUCCAGGCCGACACCUCCAAAAAUGCAGUCCUGUUGCCCAACCUGGUGCCUGUCACUUCCUAUCGCCUCAGCCUCGCCGUGCUGGGCAGGAACGGUCUGUGGAGUCGGUUGGUCACUCUGGCAUGUUCCACAUCUGCCGAGGCCUGGCAUCCCCCAGCAUUAGCCCCGGCCCCUGAGCUGGAGACUGGGACAGAAAUGGGAGUGAUGAUCCCGCGGGGUAUGUUUGGCAAGGAUGAUGGGCAGAUCCAGUGGUACGGCAUCAUUGCCACCACCAACAUGUCACAUGACUCAGCCUUCCUGGGAAGCCAUCAACCACAUGUGGCAUGACCACUACUACAGAGGACAUGACUCCUACCUGGCCAUCCUGCUCCCCAACCCCUUCUACCCAGAUCCCUGGGCUGUGCCGAGAUCCUGGACAGUGCCUGUGGGUACAGAGGACUGUGGCCACACCAAAGAGAUAUGCAACGGGCAGCUCAAGCUAGGUUCCCAGUAUAGGCGAGCGCUAAGGCUGAAGGGAGUGAUGAAACUUACAAGAUCUUGCUGGAAAUGCACGCUGCUCCACACCCAGGGUGGAAUUCAGGAUCUGCGUUUCCAACAGGCCCCCAGGUGAUCAGGUUGUGCUGCCAGGACUCUGAGGUCCCCUGCUUUGUACCUGUCACCCAGGGGAGGGCAGGGCAGGACUCUGCAAACCUAAGGCUGGGGGGCUACCCUCUCCACCUCCCACCAGGUGGACCCACCGGCCCAUCCCUAUCCACAGCUUCAGGCAGAGCUAUGAGGCCAAGAGUGCUCACGCGCACCGGGCUUUCUUUUUGCAAUUCGAGGAGCUGAAGGAGGUGGGCAAGGAGCAGCCCAGACUGGAGGCUGAGUAUGCUGCCAACACCACCAAGAACCAUUACCCACACGUGCUACCCUACGACCACUCCAGUGUCAGGCUGACCCAGCUGGAGGGAGAGCCUCAUUCUGACGACAUCAACGCCAACUUCAUCCCAGGCUACACCCACCCACCCACAGGAAUUCAUUGCCUCUCAGGCGCCUCUCAAGAAAACACUGGAGAACUUCUGGCGGCUGGUGCGGGAGUAGCAGGUCCGCAUCAUCAUCAUGCUGACCGUCGGCAUGGAGAACAGGAGGGUGCUGUGUGAGCAUUACUGGCUGACCGACUCUACCCCGGUCACCCAUGAUCACAUCACCAUCCACCUCCUAGCCGAGGAGGCUGAGGAUGAGUGGACCAAGCGGGAAUUCCAGCUGCAGCACGUGCGUGCCCCAAGGAUGAGGGGGGUGGAGUAACUGCAAUUCACCACCUGACCCGACCACAGCAUCCUCAAGGCCCCCAGCUCCCUGCUUACCUUUAUGGAGCUGGUACAGGAACAGGCAAGGGCCACCCAGGGCAUGGGACCCAUCCUGGUGCCCUGCAGGAGGGCAGGUGAACAGGCACCUUCGUGGCCCUGUUGAGGCUGCUGCAGCAGCUGGAGGAGGAGCAGAUGGUAGACGUGUUCCAUGCUGUGUAUGCAUUCUAGAUGCACGGGCCCCUCAUGAUCCAGACCCUGAGCCAGUACGUCUUCCUGCACAGCUGCCUACUGAACAAGAUUCUGGAAGGGCCCUUCAACAUCUCUGAGUCUUGGCCCAUCUCUGUGAUGAACUUCGCACAGGCGUGUGCCAAGAGGGCAGCCAAUGCCAACGCUGGCUUCUUGAAGGAGUACGAGCUCUUGCUGCAGGCCAUCAAGGACGAGACUGGCUCUUCCGCACCCCUGCCUGGCUAUGAGCAGGACAGCCCCUUCUCCUAUGACUGUUCUCAGGGGCAGUUUUCUCCAGUGUAGGAGAGCACCCCUGACGACAUGCCCGAAGCCUGGCUCUUCCCUGGUGGGCCCUCUGGCUGUGAUCAUAUGGUGCUGACUGGCCUCGCACGGCCAGAGGAGCUCUGGGAGCUGGUGUGGCAGCACGGGGCUCAUGUGCUUGUCUCUCUGUGCCCACUCGAUGCCAUGGAGAAGCCACAGGAAUUCUGGCCAAUGGAGAUGCAGCCCAUAGUCACAGACAUGGUGACGGUGCACUGGGUGGCCGAGAGCAGCACAGUGGGCUGGCUCUGUGCCCUCUUCAGGGUCACACAUGGGGAGAGCAGGAAGGAAAGAGAGGUGCAGAGACUGCAGUUUCCAUACCUGGAGCCUGGGCAUGAGCUGCCCGCCACCACCCUGCUGCCCUUCCUGGCUGCUGUGGGCCAGUGCUGCUCUCGGGGCAACAGCAAGAAGCCGGGCACACUGCUCAGCCACUCCAGCAAGGGUGCGACCCAGCUGGGCACCUUCCUGGCCAUGGAGCAGCUGCUGCAGCAGGCAGGGUCUGAGUGCACCGUGGAAGUCUUUAACGUGGCCCUGCAGCAGUCUCAGGCCUGUGACCUUAUGACCCCAACGCUGAAGCAGUAUAUCUACCUCUACAAUUGUCUGAACAGCGCACUGGCAGACGGGCUGCCCCUGAGUCGG